RNAcentral lists this ribosomal RNA (253 nucleotides) under uncultured bacterium. Its description in RNAcentral is "partial 16S ribosomal RNA". It matches the Rfam family "Bacterial small subunit ribosomal RNA", at positions 524 to 776 of the family's 1533-position model. The record is from RNAcentral.
UACAGAGGUCCCAAGCGUUGUUCGGAUUCACUGGGCGUAAAGGGUGCGUAGGUGGCUUGGUAAGUUCGAUGUGAAAUCUCCGGGCUUAAACCCGGAAAUGGGCAUUGAAUACUAUUGAGCUGGAGGUUGGAGGGGGACUGGAAUUCUCGGUGUAGCAGUGAAAUGCGUAGAUAUCGAGAGGAACACAGUGGCGAAAGGCGGCUCACUGGCUCGGUACUGACGCUGAGGUGCGAAAGCGUGGGGAGCAAACAGG